Molecule: ribosomal RNA, 558 nt
Filed under: Streptosporangium vulgare
Lineage: Bacteria; Bacillati; Actinomycetota; Actinomycetes; Streptosporangiales; Streptosporangiaceae
Description: bacterial SSU rRNA
Rfam family: Bacterial small subunit ribosomal RNA
Source: RNAcentral
CGACCGGCCACACUGGGACUGAGACACGGCCCAGACUCCUACGGGAGGCAGCAGUGGGGAAUAUUGCGCAAUGGGCGAAAGCCUGACGCAGCGACGCCGCGUGGGGGAUGACGGCCUUCGGGUUGUAAACCUCUUUCAGCAGGGACGAAGUUGACGUGUACCUGCAGAAGAAGCGCCGGCUAACUACGUGCCAGCAGCCGCGGUAAUACGUAGGGCGCAAGCGUUGUCCGGAAUUAUUGGGCGUAAAGAGCUCGUAGGUGGCUUGUCACGUCGGGUGUGAAAGCUUGGGGCUUAACUCCAGGUCUGCAUUCGAUACGGGCUGGCUAGAGGUAGGUAGGGGAGAACGGAAUUCCUGGUGUAGCGGUGAAAUGCGCAGAUAUCAGGAGGAACACCGGUGGCGAAGGCGGUUCUCUGGGCCUUACCUGACGCUGAGGAGCGAAAGCGUGGGGAGCGAACAGGAUUAGAUACCCUGGUAGUCCACGCUGUAAACGUUGGGCGCUAGGUGUGGGGACCUUCCACGGUUUCCGCGCCGUAGCUAACGCAUUAAGCGCCCCGCCU